RNAcentral lists this long non-coding RNA (1057 nucleotides) under Gallus gallus (chicken). RNAcentral describes it as "lncRNA (ENSGALG00010022390.1)". Lineage: Eukaryota; Metazoa; Chordata; Aves; Galliformes; Phasianidae. The record is from RNAcentral.
GAGCUGCGUGUGCUGCUGUGAACAGAAAGCAGCAGGACGGAGGGGGCUUUUGGGGGAAGGAAGGCUGAGAAAUACUUGCGGUAUCCAGCAAAUGCCUGAGCUAAAGACCCCUCGUUUUGCAGGCAGCUCGAUGGCAAUGGUUGCAAGCAGCUCACGGAGGGAGGCACGUUGCUGAUGCAAAGCAAAUAAACCCAGGCUGGGAGCAGGACCCUCUCCACCUCCCUCCAAAAAAUCUCAGCUUUUCAUCCCUAGCUUAGUUUCCCUGUGAAAGAGUGAGUGUGAAACGCCUGGGAGCUUCGCAAAAAGCAGCCAGGGCUGACGGCUUUCCUCGGGACAGCCCGGUGCUCUCACGGCCGAACCGGGGGAGGUAGGGGUGGUUCGCACACGGCUGAGUGAUGCUGCGGGGCUGGGAGCGCUCGUGCAUCCCCGCACGUGAGAAGCACCGAGGGGAGACUGCAGUGUGGUGCUGCCAGCAGAGCGGACCGGCGGGCUGGGGGAGCUCGUGAGGCUCCUCUGGGAGGACAGCGGGUCAGGGCUGGGGGCAUCGGGCUGCCCUCGGGGAUACCGUGCGUUCAGGGGAGGAUGGAGGAGGGCAAGCGGUGGCUGGGUAUGACCCCGUGAGAGCACUUCUAGUUGCGGUUUGACACGCUGUAGGUGGUUAUUCAAACGUUGAGAGUGAGGGGGGUUCCAACGUGGGACUUUCCGGCUUUCCAGGGGAGGAAAGCCGCCGGGACGCGGCACGAACGCUGCAGGAAGGACGGGGCUGCUCCUGCCGAGGGGAAUCCGUGCCUGCUGCCUCUCCUGCAGAGAAAUGCCGGCACUCACACGGUAAUUGCUGCUGCUUGUAAGCCGUGCUGCUAAAAGACCAAAGUGACUGAUGAUAGAAGUGGGAAAGGAUUAAAAUCUCUAAAACAAUGCAAGGGGAAGAAAAUAGAUGAGUUAGCAAGGGAACCGGCUUAUCUCUUCUUGAGCAAACAAACAAGUGGAAGCUAAUUUUCCGAGCCAGCGGCUGAAUGAUUAAUGGAGCUCCCCGUGAUUAACCCUCCGUCACGAGCUC